This 110-nucleotide transfer RNA is filed under the name Serratia fonticola. RNAcentral describes it as "tRNA-Lys". The stretch from base 7 to 101 matches the Rfam family "tRNA", at positions 7 to 64 of the family's 71-position model. From Rfam's summary of the family: Transfer RNA (tRNA) molecules are approximately 80 nucleotides in length. Their secondary structure includes four short double-helical elements and three loops (D, anti-codon, and T loops). Further hydrogen bonds mediate the characteristic L-shaped molecular structure. tRNAs have two regions of fundamental functional importance: the anti-codon, which is responsible for specific mRNA codon recognition, and the 3' end, to which the tRNAs corresponding amino acid is attached (by aminoacyl-tRNA synthetases). tRNAs cope with the degeneracy of the genetic code in two manners: having more than one tRNA (with a specific anti-codon) for a particular amino acid; and 'wobble' base-pairing, i.e. permitting non-standard base-pairing at the 3rd anti-codon position. The record is from RNAcentral. Lineage: Bacteria; Pseudomonadati; Pseudomonadota; Gammaproteobacteria; Enterobacterales; Yersiniaceae.
GGGUCGUUAGCUCAGUUGGUAGAGCAGUUGACUUUUAAUCAAUUGGUCGCAGGUUCGAGCCGAGCGGCAGCGAGACAACGGCGACAGCCGGUAAUCCUGCAAACCCGCCA